GCCAGCAGCCGCGGUAAUACUAAAGGUGCAAGCGUUAAUCGGAAUUACUGGGCGUAAAGCGCGCGUAGGUGGUUUGUUAAGUUGGAUGUGAAAGCCCAGGGCUCAACCUUGGAACUGCAUUCAAAACUGACUCACUAGAGUACGAGAGAGGUUAGUGGAAUUUCCUGUGUAGCGGUGAAAUGCGUAGAGAUGGGAAGGAACACCAGUGGCGAAGGCGACUGACUGGCUCGAUACUGACACUGAGGUGCGAAAGCGUGGGGAGCAAACGGGAUUAGAUACCCCGGUAGUCCACGCCGUAAACGAUGUCUACUAGCCGUUGGAGGACUUGAUCCUUUAGUGGCGCAGCUAACGCGAUAAGUAGACCGCCUGGGGAGUACGGUCGCAAGAUUAAAACUCAAAUGAAUUGACGGGGGCCCGCACAAGCGAUGGAGCAUGUGGUUUAAUUCGAAGCAACGCGAAGAACCUUACCUACUCUUGACAUCCAGUGAACUUUUGAGAGAUCAAUUGGUGCCUUCGGGAACACUGAGACAGGUGCUGCAUGGCUGUCGUCAGCUCGUGUUGUGAAAUGUUGGGUUAAGUCCCGUAACGAGCGCAACCCUUGUCCUUAGUUACCAUCAUUAAGUUGGGGACUCUAAGGAGACUGCCGGUGACAAACCGGAGGAAGGCGGGGACGACGUCAAGUCAUCAUGGCCCUUACGAGUAGGGCUAUGCACGUGCUACAAUGGCAUGUACAAAGGGUUGCCAAGCCGCGAGGUGGAGCUAAUCCCAUAAAGCAUGUCGUAGUCCGGAUUGGAGUCUGCAACUCGACUCCAUGAAGUCGGAAUCGCUAGUA
RNAcentral lists this ribosomal RNA (832 nucleotides) under uncultured marine bacterium. RNAcentral's name for it is "bacterial SSU rRNA". It matches the Rfam family "Bacterial small subunit ribosomal RNA", at positions 507 to 1340 of the family's 1533-position model. The record is from RNAcentral.